Molecule: ribosomal RNA, 301 nt
Filed under: uncultured bacterium
Lineage: Bacteria
Description: partial 16S ribosomal RNA
Rfam family: Bacterial small subunit ribosomal RNA
Source: RNAcentral
CAGCCGCCGCGGUAAUACGUAGGGUGCAAGCGUUAAUCGGAAUUACUGGGCGUAAAGCGUGCGCAGGCGGUUAUAUAAGACAGAUGUGAAAUCCCCGGGCUCAACCUGGGAACUGCAUUUGUGACUGUAUAGCUAGAGUACGUCAGAGGGGGAUGGAAUUCCGCGUGUAGCAGUGAAAUGCGUAGAUAUGCGGAGGAACACCGAUGGCGAAGGCAAUCCCCUGGGCCUGUACUGACGCUCAUGCACGAAAGCGUGGGGAGCAAACAGGAUUAGAUACCCGAGUAGUCCCUGUCUCUUAUAC